Molecule: ribosomal RNA, 429 nt
Filed under: Pseudomonadota bacterium
Lineage: Bacteria; Pseudomonadati; Pseudomonadota
Description: Proteobacteria bacterium partial 16S ribosomal RNA
Rfam family: Bacterial small subunit ribosomal RNA
Source: RNAcentral
UGGGGAAUAUUGGACAAUGGGCGAAAGCCUGAUCCAGCCAUGCCGCGUGUGUGAAGAAGGUCUUCGGAUUGUAAAGCACUUUAAGUUGGGAGGAAGGGCAGUAAGCGAAUACCUUGCUGUUUUGACGUUACCGACAGAAUAAGCACCGGCUAACUCUGUGCCAGCAGCCGCGGUAAUACAGAGGGUGCAAGCGUUAAUCGGAAUUACUGGGCGUAAAGCGCGCGUAGGUGGUUCGUUAAGUUGAAUGUGAAAGCCCCGAGCUUAACUUGGGAAUUGCAUUCGAUACUGGUUAGCUAGAGUGUGGGAGAGGAUGGUAGAAUUCCAGGUGUAGCGGUGAAAUGCGUAGAGAUCUGGAGGAAUACCGAUGGCGAAGGCAGCCAUCUGGCCUAACACUGACGCUGAGGUACGAAAGCAUGGGGAGCAAACAGG